UGGAGACUUGUUAGGAGAACUCAACGAGUUCUUCUCACGUCUAGGUAAGUCAUUAGCUGGCAUUUUGGAGGAAGUGUUCAAUGUGCCCAUUUCAGAGGAAGUGUUCAGUGUGUCACGAAAACGGCACAGGAUACAAAGUGUUAUAAUAUAAAUUGUUAAAUUUUUUUUACGUAUUCAACACUUAGUGUACUUGACAUAUUCUCAUGACACUGAAAAUUUUCUCGACAAUUUGAUGUUGUCUUGGUUUUUGUCUUUGAGCUCGGAGAUUAGUUAUUACUAUAAAUGGUAAAUCCUAUUUUAUCUGUAUUGUCGUACUUUUAGGCAUAUCGAAAACUGCGACAGAAUGAGACCUAUAAUCCAAAUGGUUACUGAGCCUAGCAUGGCGAUUUCCAGGUGCAAGUUACGCUCAAUAGGUGAAACGAUGUUUCAUGAUCUAAUGUUACAAUUGUUGGGCUUCUCAUAAAAUAUUGUCCCAGUAGCCGUGUUUUUCUUGCAGUGUUUGAUAUGUCUUUGUUAGGAAAAUAGACUAUAUGAAACAUGAUUAUCAUUACAUUUACACAAAACAGUAACAUUAUCCAUCAAGGUUGCACUAGGUGUUAGUCAGACGGAGGCUAAGAAAAAUUACAACAAAAACAGUAACAUUAUCCAUCAAGGUUGCACUAUUUAUACAAAAUUGCAAUUGUAUAUGAAUAUAUACAUGAUCCUCAAAACAGCAAAUAAUGACUUCAUCUCUCAAUUAUUUACACAAAAUUGCAAUUGCAUAUGAAUAUAUAUAUAUAUAUAUAUAUAUAUAUAUAUAUAUGCACAUAUAUAUGUGUGCGUGUGUGUUUGUGUGUAUAUAUAUAUCAAUGCAUAAUACAUAACAUUACUA
This 871-nucleotide long non-coding RNA is filed under the name Malus domestica (apple). Its description in RNAcentral is "long non-coding RNA (MDOM_LNC021080)". Lineage: Eukaryota; Viridiplantae; Streptophyta; Magnoliopsida; Rosales; Rosaceae. The record is from RNAcentral.